AGCCGUUGCAUUCAAACGCCCUGCCUGGCCCAGGGCUGGCUGGUUGGCCCUUUUCUCCUUUUUUGGUCCGGUGGGGCCCACGAGCCCUUUGGCCUGGCCUUUGGUUGGAGAUGGUUUUUGUGCCAUUUCAGGCUAUUUUCGGCCCUCUGGCCAGGUCGGUUGAAGAUGGCCUUAGUGUAUCUGGUAUUGUUGGCACACUGAAAAAAAAAAUAUUCACCAGAAGUGAUAACCUCUCCCAUUUUCACCUUUAUAAAAGGGAUCACUAUUCCCUUAAAAGUUUAUCUAAUUUUACUUGCCCAAACCCAUGUCAAUUCAUCUAAUCACAUUUUACUAACUUAAGCAUCGGAGUAAUGUUUUUAACUGAUCAGCUUUGGCGUUAGAAGAUGGUAACCAAAUUUUACACAGAAACCUUAGAAUAAGAUGCUUUUUUUUUUCUUCUACAAAUUGCAUGUUGUCCUCAGAAUCCAAACUUGAGUGCUUGUUUGUCAUAUGUUCUCCUAGGACUCUACAAGAACACAUUAUUAAAAGCAUAUGAUAUGAUUUAAUCCAGUAGUGUAGCAUCUAGUGGUUCUUAAGUGCAGCAUCUCCAUUGCACUCCACCUAGUGGAUCAAUUUUCAUUUAUUUAAUUUCUCAGUGGAUAUAACUUGGUUGGGAAAAUAUUAUCAAUCUUUAGAGGAGGGGAUUUUUUUUCUUUUUCUUUUCUAAAGGUGAUAUUAAACCACUAUUAAAGAUAGUAUCAAUAUUGUUAAUUAAGCAUUAGGCUCUCUUCAGUAAUAUUUUAAGUAAAAAAGGAAGUCUAUCUUUCCUUCAAGAGAUUAAGCUUUUAUUUUGAUAUGUUAGAAUCGGAUCAGGAUUAACAUUUUGACAACUUUAGUUUUCUAGGGAUCAUAAUUGGUCAACAAUAGUUGAUAGGCUCGAGAAAUGUUUUAAAUUAUAAAUACUCCUGCAAUAGUAUAUACUCUAAUUAACAGAAUAAUUUUUAUAUCGGCACAUAUGAUUGAUCAGCAACAUUCAGUCCCUACAAAGUAGGAGGUACCAAUGUUUGAACACUUAUCUUUUUUCCCUUCUUUAUGUCACACUCUCAAGAACAAUUGGAUAAUUUGGAUAUAAACAUAUUUAUGUUCACGUGACUAAUCAGAAACAGUCUUGCUCCAUACACCUUUUGAUGUGUACGCUUCUUUUUUUCUCUUUCAACCUUUUAUGAUUUAUAAGAGCAAUGGCUCCUUGGGUAUAAAUCUGCAUGUCAGAAACAACAAGUGGGAUUGAAUUGAAUUAUUUGAUUAGGCAGAAAGAUACCAUCCAUGGUGUUGAUAAAUUAGGAAUUGACACAACCUUUUUUGUGGUGGUCAGCUUGUCCACCCCUGUGAUUCUUUUGGGUUAAAUCACAUCAACAUUUGUGUCUGCCUUGGUUUUUGAGACACAUCAAGAACAUAAUAGGCCUAAUCCUUGCCUUAUCAGGAACAACCUCCUCAUCUGUUAUACCUGAAAAUUCUUGGUGAUCUUUCUUGUUUCUUACAUGCCAUUUUAGAAGUAAAUAAAGCAUUAUUAUUGAGGAAAAUUUCAGCAGGAUAACCUGAUGAUAAUGUGGCUAGUUAAGCACUUUUAUAAGAAGUGAAACCCCGUAUAUUGGUGAUCAUAUUCCUACAUGAGGAGGAUGAUAUUAACUAGUCCUGAAUAACUCAGUUUUUUUUUCUGUGAGAAUGACAUGACCAGUGACACGAUCAUGCCCUCUCUCUGCAAUUUUCCUCAUUUUAAGGGCCUAAAUUCACUUCGUUUGUUUUUACAAAAUGGAUUUGUCUACCCUGCCAAGCUUAUUCUACAUAGUGUACAGGAGUAAGCUAGAAGCCCAAUAUACAGCUGGGAUUUCUUAGUUCUUACACUUCAUGAAUGUGACAGAUUAUUUAUAUGGGAAAUUCUAACAUAUAAUUGGAAGGUCCUAAUGUGAUGAGAGGUAUGGCUCAUGGGAAAUUCUAACAAAUAAUCUGAAAUAUGUGUGGCUCGUGAGAGAUUCUAACAUAUAUUCGGAAAUAUGUGGUUGCAUGACGAGAGGUACAGGAAGAGAGGGAUGGCCAAGUAUCUCCCCCACUCACCAGGGCUCAUGACAGAGCUGUUAGACACAUAUAUGAAGUAUCCAAAAAGGUUAGCGAAGAGAGGUUGCUGGCAUGGCCUAUGCAGCAAAUGCUGGAGGCCCCAUUGGGCGUGUGGUGUCCCUGUCCCUUAUUUUCUGCCUAAUUUGUGCAGAAAUAAUGGUGGAAUGGAACAAAAAUCCAGGACUCCUUGUCCCUUUUUGAAACUUCAGAAGUUGCUUCUAAUUUAAGUCACUGUGAGGUCCUUGUUGAUGGUGGUAGAACCCAUGUGCCAUUGCCAUGUCCAUAUGGUUAGGCUUCUGCAUUUUCAGUUUUUCUUUUGUUCAAUUAAGUAUUUGAAAGCUGAUUAAAAAUAUU
RNAcentral lists this long non-coding RNA (2445 nucleotides) under Malus domestica (apple). Its description in RNAcentral is "long non-coding RNA (MDOM_LNC016095)". Lineage: Eukaryota; Viridiplantae; Streptophyta; Magnoliopsida; Rosales; Rosaceae. The record is from RNAcentral.